Molecule: long non-coding RNA, 871 nt
Organism: Bombus pyrosoma
Lineage: Eukaryota; Metazoa; Arthropoda; Insecta; Hymenoptera; Apidae
Exons: 3
Source: RefSeq, a predicted model, not a curated record
AAAGACAGAGAAAAUUGAAAUUCCUUUGACUUGAAAUUGAAACCGCAACUUCGAGCAUCGCAAAGCUAUCGGCUUUGAAUAAAAGCUUUUGAAAAUUCCUCGGCCAAUUCGAACAUGCUCGAUUAUAUCGGGUUAAUGGAACUGGAAGUAUCGUUGUUCAGGAUCAACAACAGCAAACCAGAGACCGCGGCAAACACGCCAGCGGACAUCAAACCAAGCGCCGGAAGCUUUUUGGAAGAAAGAAUUGGUCCAUCUUCGAGUUUGAGGUAGCACAGGCCAGGUAGAACGUAAGCUAGAGGUACAGCAGCGAGGAUUCCAUUCAAUUCGAGAACCACACCCAGACAAUCUGUUGACAUCGAUAUCAGGAAAGGAAGAUUCGAAGAUGCUAUGUAUAAGAUCUUAAAUUUCAACCUGUAUAGGUAACAGCUUUUCACAAUUUAUAUAAAUCGUGAAUAAAUAGAAAAUCCAUUAAAGAUUACCAUAAUAAUGAUUCAAUUACACAAUUUAAUCCUUAUAAAUAAUAUCAAAAUAAUAUGAUGACUCUUCAGAGAACAAUGUUUUAAACAUACAACUUUUAUGUUAUGAGAGAAGGGUUUAUUCUAUUACAAUUUAACAAAAUACAUCGUUAAAAAUGAUUUGGGCACAGCAUAUGGAAAAAUUAUCAAGAUAUUAUAUACAAAUAAGAUGUAAGUAAUGUAAAAUAAAUAUAAAAUUAUUUAAAAAAGCUCUAAAUAACAAUCAACAUACUUAAAAACAUUUUUCCACCUGAAAAGAAGUUCUUUCUAUGAACAAACUUGUGUAAUCACCAAUUAUCAAUCAGAUAAAAUGAAAAUUUUUUAAAUUAAAUGUUUAAUGAUAAAGUUUUUAAAGA